AAAUUAUGCCAAGAAAAAAAUUUCAUACAAAUUUUAGCAAAUAAAAACUGAUUCGGGCCGACUAAUAUGAUAGAGAAUAGUUUGCCUCAUUCAAACUAAUGCCGUAUCCAGAUGUCGAUACCUAAUCGUCGUCAUCGUGAAUAGGUAACAGCGUUACGGUCGUUGUUAGGUCGAUGUUUUUUUCGUCGAUUGGAUUGUGGGUGCCCACGUACUUUAAGUUGUCAUGACCCUAAAUUGAAUUAUUUUUUAUAGACGUUCAGAUAUUCUCAAAAAAACUUGUCAUUAUAAUAUAAAAUUAUCUUCAAACAUAUUUUUUAUGACGUUUUUUCACCACUUGCAGGCAAUGGUGAUUUUCACUUACAUAGAGUACUAAUUUGAUUAAGGAAAAAUCAUGUUCAUUCAUAAUUUUCAUUUUAAAAGUGUAUUUAUUCCUUCUGCAAAUCCAUACUGUCAUGCCUAUUCCCCAAUAUCGUCAACGCGGAUAGUCCGUUAGUCGAAAUACUGAAUAAUUAAACAAACCAAAUGGCAUCACUGGUGGUUCUUUUUUCCACUCCGCUAAACUGUCAUCUCAAACAAAAACAAAUGGAUCAUACAACUGCUAUGAAUACAUUCGACUCGUUUGCUUCCAUCAAUCGGUAAGGUAGAAAGAUGAUUUCUCCCAUCACCACAGUGCGGAUUUCCACUUCUAUCACAGCAGCCAACAACAUCCGUUUUCCUGCAGCAGUAACCUACAACCCCUGUUGGCAAUGCCGGGGGACAGCAUUAACAGCAGCAGCAGCAGAAUUUGACCAUGGUAUGGUAUUGCGAAGAACUUUCCCCAUUAGAGGUUCCGUGCUUCGCGCACAUUCAAAAAUCCUCUUCAGACACGAAAACUCAACAAGGAGGUAUUUAUCAACUUGCUCAGCUGAAUUACCACCCCGGAAGAACCCGAAUGCACUGAUUCCGUUGUAUAGUAGAAUGAAAAUAGGUGAGGUAAGCGAACGUAAUCGCAUGAUAUUUUAAUGUUCGCAUUUUUAUCCGGAUCAUACAACUGGUGAGUAGGGAAUUCAUUUCUGCUUUUCACUUACUAAUCAUUUUAUUUUGUUUCGGCUAUGAAUACAUCCGACUCAAUCAAUCGGCGAGUGAGAAAGAUGAUUUCCCUCAUCACCACAUUGCUUAUUUCCACUUCUGUCACACCAGCCAACAGCAUCAGCUUUCCCGCAGCAGUAUCCUUUAAGUCCAGGGUGCUAUUCCGGGGAACAGCAUCAACAGCAACAGCAGGUCCUGGCCAUCGAUAGUAUUUCGAGCAAUUUUCCCCAUCGGAGAUCCCGUGCUUCACGCACAUUGAAGAAUCCUCCUCAGCCACAUAUCUGUGUCAUCAAGGGCAAGGAGGUAUUCAUCAAUGUACUCAGUCGGAUUUGAAUCGUCAAUCCAGACAACCCGGAUGCACCGAUUCCAUUAUAUACCUUAUUUUUAUUAUACAUGGAUUUUUAUUAUUUUUUUUUUCAAUAAAAUGAUUAAAAUCGA
Molecule: long non-coding RNA, 1506 nt
Organism: Toxorhynchites rutilus septentrionalis
Lineage: Eukaryota; Metazoa; Arthropoda; Insecta; Diptera; Culicidae
Exons: 2
Source: RefSeq, a predicted model, not a curated record